RNAcentral lists this ribosomal RNA (440 nucleotides) under uncultured bacterium. RNAcentral's name for it is "partial 16S ribosomal RNA". It matches the Rfam family "Bacterial small subunit ribosomal RNA", at positions 339 to 795 of the family's 1533-position model. The record is from RNAcentral.
CUACGGGCCGCUGCAGUGAGGAAUAUUGCACAAUGGGGGGAACCCUGAUGCAGCAACGCCGCGUGGAGGAUGACGCAUUUCGGUGUGUAAACUCCUUUUAUAUGUCAAGAAAAUGACGGUAGCAUAUGAAUAAGCACCGGCAUAACUCCGUGCCAGCAGCCGCGGUAAUACGGAGGGUGCAAGCGUUACUCGGAAUCACUGGGCGUAAAGGACGCGUAGGCGGGUUGGAAAGUCAGGUGUGAAAUCCUACAGCUUAACUGUAGAACUGCACUUGAAACUUCUAAUCUAGAGUAUGGGAGGGGGAGAGGGAAUUAGUGGUGUAGGGGUAAAAUCCGUAGAUAUCACUAGGAAUACCUAAAGCGAAGGCGAUCUCCUGGAACAUUACUGACGCUAAGGCGUGAAAGCGUGGGGAGCAAACAGGAUUAGAUACCCUAGUAGUC